This 253-nucleotide ribosomal RNA is filed under the name uncultured bacterium. Its description in RNAcentral is "partial 16S ribosomal RNA". It matches the Rfam family "Bacterial small subunit ribosomal RNA", at positions 524 to 776 of the family's 1533-position model. The record is from RNAcentral.
UACGUAGGGGGCAAGCGUUAUCCGGAAUUACUGGGUAUAAAGGGAGCGUAGACGGUAAUGUAAGUCUGGAGUGAAAGGCGGGGGCCCAACCCCCGGACUGCUCUGGAAACUAUGUUACUAGAGUGCAGGAGAGGUAAGCGGAAUUCCUAGUGUAGCGGUGAAAUGCGUAGAUAUUAGGAGGAACACCAGUGGCGAAGGCGGCUUACUGGACUGUGACUGACGUUGAGGCUCGAAAGCGUGGGGAGCAAACAGG